GUGGGGAAUAUUGGACAAUGGGCGAAAGCCUGAUCCAGCCAUGCCGCGUGUGUGAAGAAGGCCUUUUGGUUGUAAAGCACUUUAAGCGAGGAGGAGGCUACCGAGAUUAAUACUCUUGGAUAGUGGACGUUACUCGCAGAAUAAGCACCGGCUAACUCUGUGCCAGCAGCCGCGGUAAUACAGAGGGUGCAAGCGUUAAUCGGAUUUACUGGGCGUAAAGCGCGCGUAGGUGGCCAAUUAAGUCAAAUGUGAAAUCCCCGAGCUUAACUUGGGAAUUGCAUUCGAUACUGGUUGGCUAGAGUAUGGGAGAGGAUGGUAGAAUUCCAGGUGUAGCGGUGAAAUGCGUAGAGAUCUGGAGGAAUACCGAUGGCGAAGGCAGCCAUCUGGCCUAAUACUGACACUGAGGUGCGAAAGCAUGGGGAGCAAACAGGAUUAGAUACCCUAGUAGUCC
This 451-nucleotide ribosomal RNA is filed under the name uncultured bacterium. Its description in RNAcentral is "partial 16S ribosomal RNA". It matches the Rfam family "Bacterial small subunit ribosomal RNA", at positions 354 to 796 of the family's 1533-position model. The record is from RNAcentral.